RNAcentral lists this ribosomal RNA (274 nucleotides) under uncultured bacterium. Its description in RNAcentral is "partial 16S ribosomal RNA". It matches the Rfam family "Bacterial small subunit ribosomal RNA", at positions 523 to 796 of the family's 1533-position model. The record is from RNAcentral.
AUACGGAGGGUGCAAGCGUUAAUCGGAAUUACUGGGCGUAAAGCGUACGUAGGCGGUCCGUUAAGUGAGAUGUGAAAGCCCCGGGCUUAACCUGGGAACUGCAUUUAAAACUGGCGAACUAGAGUUGAGUAGAGGGGAGUGGAAUUUCAGGUGUAGCGGUGAAAUGCGUAGAGAUCUGAAGGAACACCAGUGGCGAAGGCGACUCCCUGGACUCGAACUGACGCUGAGGUACGAAAGCGUGGGUAGCAAACGGGAUUAGAUACCCUUGUAGUCC